Molecule: small RNA, 564 nt
Filed under: Pongo abelii (Sumatran orangutan)
Lineage: Eukaryota; Metazoa; Chordata; Mammalia; Primates; Hominidae
Description: retained intron
Source: RNAcentral
ACGCGCAUGCGGGAGGGGCAGCAGCCGGCCGGGCCUGGGAACGUGGCUGGUUGGAGGAGGUGGAUCACCGUUUCUGCGGUGGACGAUUUCGUCGGUGGUAGGCUGCUACCAUGAGGUUGAAUCAGAACACCUUGCUGCUGGGGAAGAAGGUGGUCCUUGUACCCUACACCUCGGAGCAUGUGCCCAGCAGGUACCACGAGUGGAUGAAAUCAGAGGAGCUGCAGCGUUUGACAGCCUCAGAGCCGCUGACCCUGGAGCAGGAGUAUGCCAUGCAGCGCAGCUGGCGGGAAGAUGCAGACAGUGAGGAGUGCCCCCCACUCCCCCUAGCCCUGGUACUGGGAGGGCUGACUCCACAGUCAGUCUCCAGGUUCCUUCCCUUUCCCAGCCCUGGCCACAGAAACUUUGUGAAAAGCCUGGAAGGUGCUGGAACUCCUGUAUUCUCAUGGCCCUGAAGCCAGUCCCUGUGGCUGACCCUUCUGUCCUCUUCCCCACCCAUUGCAUCGGGCUUGGAAGGAUUUGGAGAAAGUAGAGCAUUUGGGGCUCUGGCUGUAAAUUGAGGCCCUG